AGGCCUGUAGCUCAGGUGGUUAGAGCGCACCCCUGAUAAGGGUGAGGUCGGUGGUUCAAGUCCACUCAGGCCUA
Molecule: transfer RNA, 74 nt
Filed under: Proteus penneri
Lineage: Bacteria; Pseudomonadati; Pseudomonadota; Gammaproteobacteria; Enterobacterales; Morganellaceae
Also listed under: 2 other names
Description: tRNA-Ile
Rfam family: tRNA
About the family: Transfer RNA (tRNA) molecules are approximately 80 nucleotides in length. Their secondary structure includes four short double-helical elements and three loops (D, anti-codon, and T loops).
Source: RNAcentral